GGGGGAUUAGCUCAGUUGGUUAGAGCGCCUGCUUGACAUGCAGGAGGCCGGCAGUUCGAGUCUGCCAUCUCCCACCA
This 77-nucleotide transfer RNA is filed under the name Lentisphaerota bacterium. Its description in RNAcentral is "Lentisphaerae bacterium (aquatic metagenome) tRNA-Val". It matches the Rfam family "tRNA". Rfam says of the family: Transfer RNA (tRNA) molecules are approximately 80 nucleotides in length. Their secondary structure includes four short double-helical elements and three loops (D, anti-codon, and T loops). Lineage: Bacteria; Pseudomonadati; Lentisphaerota. The record is from RNAcentral.